Molecule: long non-coding RNA, 498 nt
Organism: Aethina tumida (small hive beetle)
Lineage: Eukaryota; Metazoa; Arthropoda; Insecta; Coleoptera; Nitidulidae
Exons: 2
Source: RefSeq, a predicted model, not a curated record
AUAAUUUAAACAUUCACGUUACGGCGGCGGCCGUCCGACGAAAUUCGGGAUCUACUUGUCGCGGCGUGGCAGGUUCCCGGUUUGAAUGUCGGGUGCGGCUUGUUUACAACGUAUAUUCCAACGAGACGCGCUCCGAUUGGUCGACGGGCACCUGCAAUGCGUCAACUGCCGGAUGAGGCAGCUUUUUCGCACGCGGUUUACUCGCGCCGCGAUGCGUCGCCUCUUGGACGCCUAUUGCUUAUGUGCGGGUGCGGCAGUCUCUGCGACACCUAGAAAACUGUCGAACCCGCCGUUAAUAACCUACUGCAUUAUUCAGGAACGUCUUUUACUAUUGUGUGUUGUAGCAAGCGUGGUUUACGCCGCCCCGGAACGGUGGUUGCCUUCGCGGCCCUCCGCUCCUCCAGCUCUGGGUCUUUCGGCAUGUCCCAAAACGUAUCGAUCUCUAUUGCUUUCGUACCAACAUUAUUUACUAUGUUUUUAAUAAAUGACAAACUGACA